UACAGAGGGGGCGAGCGUUGUUCGGAAUUACUGGGCGUAAAGGGCGCGUAGGCGGCCCGCUAAGUCGAACGUGAAAUCCCCAGGCUCAACCUGGGAACUGCGUCCGAUACUGGCAGGCUUGAAUCCGGGAGAGGGAUGUGAAAUUCCAGGUGUAGCGGUGAAAUGCGUAGAUAUCUGGAGGAACACCGGUGGCGAAGGCGGCAUCCUGGACCGGUAUUGACGCUGAGGCGCGAAAGCUAGGGGAGCAAACGGG
Molecule: ribosomal RNA, 253 nt
Filed under: uncultured bacterium
Lineage: Bacteria
Description: partial 16S ribosomal RNA
Rfam family: Bacterial small subunit ribosomal RNA
Source: RNAcentral